This 956-nucleotide long non-coding RNA is filed under the name Vigna radiata. RNAcentral's name for it is "long non-coding RNA (VRAD_LNC000191)". The record is from RNAcentral. Lineage: Eukaryota; Viridiplantae; Streptophyta; Magnoliopsida; Fabales; Fabaceae.
UUCUCACUAUUCAUCAUUUGGGAUUGAGGCAACACCAGAAACACAACAUUUGAAUCAGCAUGAGCAGAACUCAGACUCUGAGCACAACAAUGGUUCAAGCAUUUCCAAUUCAGAAUCAGUAAAUAUCCAAUAUAUGACUCAGCCUUUAGGGUGCACUACAAAUCAAUUCCAGGCCUUAGACAACUAUGAUUUUGGCAUCUGUUCAUAUGAUAGCUACAACAUAGAUAACAGUGCCUAUGACAUGGAUUCAUUCAACCUGGCAGCCACAAUGGAUGCUCAGAAUCUGACACUCCCAGUUAUUGGUUGCCAAAUAUCAGAAACCAACUCGCUAAAUAUGGAAUCUGAAUGCAGCACAAGGAGCAAUGAUGAAUUAUGGCAAUUUAUGAACAUAUAAAUAAGAAUAUUUAGAUUUUAGAGCACUCUUUCAAAACUUUCUUUCAUAUGUAGUGUUUGCUAUUAGAUAGAUAAUCAAUAUAAAUGUAAAGACUAAUUGUUUUAUAAUUUAAAGUACACCAGGAUAUGUUUCUGUUUUGCAUAUUUAACUUCUCUGAAUUGAAUACUGUGAUGAGUGCAUUUUUCGAAUGAGUUGGAAAUUUGAAAGGGCGUAGAUAUUCACAAGACCAUAAUAUAAAAAUUGAAAAUUUGAGUGUAAAACCACAACACUGUCAAAGAUUUCAUAAAUUUCUUAAAUGUGCUUGAACAGUCAAGACUUGAAUUUGAAUCUAGGACUACAGCUGGAAGGGAAUGUAUACAAAUUUUAUGGACAUUUCAAAAUAACCAUUUUUUUCAAACCUUGAUCGGAAGAUUACUUUUUCAGUUCAAGUCAGAGUGCAGCCACCGCCAACUUUGAUGGAACAGAUGAUUCAUCGAGAAGAAAGCGAAAAUUUGCAAACGACUAUGAAACAUCUACUUUUGAAAUCUAUUCUCAUAAUUUUCUUCUCUGUACGGUCUUCGUA